GAUGAACGCUGGCGGCGUGCCUAAUACAUGCAAGUCGAGCGAACGGACGAGAAGCUCGCUUUUCUGAUGUUAGCGGCGGACGGGUGAGUAACACGUGGAUAACCUACCUAUAUGACUGGGAUAACUUCGGGAAACCGGAGCUAAUACCGGAUCAUAUUUUGAACCGCAUGGUUCAAAAGUGAAAGACGGUCUUGCUGUCACUUUUAGAUGGAUCCGCGCUGCAUUAGCUAGUUGGUAAGGUAACGGCUUACCAAGGCAACGAUGCGUAGCCGACCUGAGAGGGUGAUCGGCCACACUGGAACUGAGACACGGUCCAGACUCCUACGGGAGGCAGCAGUAGGGAAUCUUCCGCAAUGGGCGAAAGCCUGACGGAGCAACGCCGCGUGAGUGAUGAAGGUCUUCGGAUCGUAAAACUCUGUUAUUAGGGAAGAACAUAUGUGUAAGUAACUGUGCCCAUCUUGACGGUACCUAAUCAGAAAGCCACGGCUAACUACGUG
RNAcentral lists this ribosomal RNA (497 nucleotides) under uncultured bacterium. RNAcentral describes it as "partial 16S ribosomal RNA". It matches the Rfam family "Bacterial small subunit ribosomal RNA", at positions 28 to 507 of the family's 1533-position model. The record is from RNAcentral.